Long non-coding RNA from Triticum dicoccoides, 845 nucleotides. RefSeq lists it as uncharacterized. The record is from RefSeq and is a predicted model, not a curated record. Lineage: Eukaryota; Viridiplantae; Streptophyta; Magnoliopsida; Poales; Poaceae. The transcript has 3 exons.
CUCUGAUGAAACCUCCCACGCAGCUCCUUCUCUUUCCCCCAUCCCCGCCAGUCGCCACCACGCGCCAAUCCCGUCGUCGCCCGUCGAUCCGGUGCGCAGUUCCACCCUCGUCUCUCUCCCUGGUCCAGCAACGUCACCCAGCCCCUUAGCUUUUCCUCCCGGCGCAAAAAUGUCCUUUUGACUCCCGUCUCCGUCCUGUUGGCCCGCAGAUCUGGCAGCCCUCGGCCAGGACGCUGCGAGCUCUGGCCGGCUUGACCUCGUCGCCCCCAUCCAAUAGGUGCUCGACGCCGCUCCUCGGGACCGCGGCGGUCUUCUUCAUGGUCUCUCUCUCCCUUCACCUCCUACGCCAUGUAUCGGCCCCUUCCUGAAGCUCCUCCUCAUCCGUGUGCCCCCCUGAUGUCGCCGAGUGGACCACGCCCACUCCCGCCUCCGCCCGCCUGUACCAGGCCACACCAGAUUCUGAAGGCGGCUUUGAAAGGGGUGAGAUGAUGCUCGUCAAGACUAACUGAAAAGGAAUGGGAGACAAUACUGAAGAAUCGUGAUCUAUGGCAAGGGUGAUGAUGUCUAUGGCGAUGAGUGUUAUGAUCUAUUUGGCGACAAGCAUUAUGAUCCAUAUGGUGAUGAAGGGUGACGAGUCUAGUGAUCUUUCUUCAAGACGUUCAACAAAGUGAAAUCAUGGGGUUUUGGUCAAUCUAGCUUAUGCAUAAUGCUUGGACCAUUAUAUCUUAGUUAAUUUUUUUUGCAUUUUAAACUUUCUAGAUUGUUCAUCAUGAUCAAUGUAAUUCUGAUGCAACUCUUCUGAUAUUUUGAAAGUUGUGCUAUAUACAAUAUAUGUUACUUGGUCA